AGAGUUUGAUCCUGGCUCAGGAUGAACGCUGGCGGCGUGCCUAACACAUGCAAGUCGAGCGAGAUGUAUAUGGACGAAACUUCGGUCUAGGAAAUAUAUUGACAGCGGCGGACGGGUGAGUAACGCGUAGGCAACCUGCCCUUAACACAGGGAUAGCCUCGGGAAACCGGGAUUAAAACCUGAUAAUGCCAAAUAGUCACAUGGCUGUUUGGCCAAAGAUUUAUCGGUUAAGGAUGGGCCUGCGUCUGAUUAGUUUGUUGGUGGGGUAACGGCCUACCAAGGCGACGAUCCGUAACUGGUCUGAGAGGAUGAUCAGUCACACUGGAACUGAGACACGGUCCAGACUCCUACGGGAGGCAGCAGUGGGGAAUAUUGGACAAUGGGCGAAAGCCUGAUCCAGCCAUGCCGCGUGUGUGAAGAAGGUCUUCGGAUUGUAAAGCACUUUAAGUUGGGAGGAAGGGUAGUAACUUAAUACGUUGCUACUUUGACGUUACCGACAGAAUAAGCACCGGCUAACUUCGUGCCAGCAGCCGCGGUAAUACGAAGGGUGCAAGCGUUAAUCGGAAUUACUGGGCGUAAAGCGCGCGUAGGUGGUUCAGUAAGUUGGAAGUGAAAUCCCCGGGCUCAACCUGGGAACUGCUUUCAAAACUGCUGAGCUAGAGUACGGUAGAGGGUGGUGGAAUUUCCUGUGUAGCGGUGAAAUGCGUAGAUAUAGGAAGGAACACCAGUGGCGAAGGCGACCACCUGGACUGAUACUGACACUGAGGUGCGAAAGCGUGGGGAGCAAACAGGAUUAGAUACCCUGGUAGUCC
Molecule: ribosomal RNA, 812 nt
Filed under: uncultured bacterium
Lineage: Bacteria
Description: bacterial SSU rRNA
Rfam family: Bacterial small subunit ribosomal RNA
Source: RNAcentral